This 429-nucleotide ribosomal RNA is filed under the name Bacteroidota bacterium. RNAcentral describes it as "Bacteroidetes bacterium partial 16S ribosomal RNA". It matches the Rfam family "Bacterial small subunit ribosomal RNA", at positions 355 to 776 of the family's 1533-position model. Lineage: Bacteria; Pseudomonadati; Bacteroidota. The record is from RNAcentral.
UAGGGAAUCUUCGGCAAUGGGGGGAACCCUGACCGAGCAACGCCGCGUGAGUGAAGAAGGUUUUCGGAUCGUAAAGCUCUGUUGUUAAGGAAGAACGAGUGUGAGAAUGGAAAGUUCAUGCUGUGACGGUACUUAACCAGAAAGGGACGGCUAACUACGUGCCAGCAGCCGCGGUAAUACGUAGGUCCCGAGCGUUGUCCGGAUUUAUUGGGCGUAAAGCGAGCGCAGGCGGUUAGAAAAGUCUGAAGUGAAAGGCAGUGGCUCAACCAUUGUAGGCUUUGGAAACUGUUUAACUUGAGUGCAGAAGGGGAGAGUGGAAGUCCAUGUGUAGCGGUGAAAUGCGUAGAUAUAUGGAGGAACACCGGUGGCGAAAGCGGCUCUCUGGUCUGUAACUGACGCGGAGGCUCGAAAGCGUGGGGAGCGAACAGG